GGUUUUCAUAACCUUUUCAUAGAUCUAAUAUCAUGGUCAAUUCUAAUAUCAUGACAAGCCAACAACAUAUUCAUAGCACAUUAAUAGCAUAGAAAUCAUCUUGAUCAAGUAGACAUGGCAUAACUUAAAGAGACAUGGCAAAAUCUUGGAGCAUGAAGACUAGGUACUUGAUCAUCAUUUAUUCGUUGAGGCACAUUAUCAAACACAUGGUAGGCAUAGCUUUAGCAUGGGAGUCAACUUAAGCACAUGGAUAUGGCAUGGAAUCAUCAUUUAGAUCACAAAUAGGUCAAAGUUCUCAAUUCUUCUUCACUUAGGCAUUUUAACAAACACCUUGCAUGCACUAUUUAAGGCAUAGACCUAAUGAUCAAUUUU
This 372-nucleotide long non-coding RNA is filed under the name Capsicum annuum. RNAcentral's name for it is "long non-coding RNA (CANN_LNC012629)". Lineage: Eukaryota; Viridiplantae; Streptophyta; Magnoliopsida; Solanales; Solanaceae. The record is from RNAcentral.